UACGGGGGGAGCAAGCGUUGUUCGGAUUUACUGGGCGUAAAGGGCGCGUAGGCGGUCAGCACAAGUCAGUUGUGAAAUCUCCGGGCUUAACUCGGAAAGGUCAACUGAUACUGUGCGACUAGAGUGCAGAAGGGGCAACUGGAAUUCUCGGUGUAGCGGUGAAAUGCGUAGAUAUCAGGAGGAAUACCGAUGGCGAAGGCAGGUCUCUGGGCUGACACUGACGCUCAUGCACGAAAGCGUGGGGAGCAAACAGG
RNAcentral lists this ribosomal RNA (254 nucleotides) under uncultured bacterium. RNAcentral describes it as "partial 16S ribosomal RNA". It matches the Rfam family "Bacterial small subunit ribosomal RNA", at positions 524 to 776 of the family's 1533-position model. The record is from RNAcentral.